GUGCCAGCUAGCCGCGGUAAUACCGGCAGCCCGAGUGAUGGCCGAUCUUAUUGGGCCUAAAGCGUCCGUAGCUGGCUGCGCAAGUCCAUCGGGAAAUCCACUCGCCCAACGAGUGGGCGUCCGACGGAAACUGCACGGCUUGGGACCGGAAGGCUCGAGAGGUACGUCCGGGGUAGGAGUGAAGUCCCGUAAUCCCGAACGGACCACCGAUAGCGAAAGCAUCUCGAGAAAACGGAUCCGACAGUGAGGGACGAAAGCUAGGGUCUCGAACCGGAUUAGAAACCCGAGUAGUCC
Molecule: ribosomal RNA, 294 nt
Filed under: uncultured bacterium
Lineage: Bacteria
Description: partial 16S ribosomal RNA
Rfam family: Archaeal small subunit ribosomal RNA
Source: RNAcentral